RNAcentral lists this ribosomal RNA (627 nucleotides) under Salmonella enterica. RNAcentral's name for it is "partial 23S ribosomal RNA". It matches the Rfam family "Bacterial large subunit ribosomal RNA", at positions 1 to 668 of the family's 2925-position model. Lineage: Bacteria; Pseudomonadati; Pseudomonadota; Gammaproteobacteria; Enterobacterales; Enterobacteriaceae. The record is from RNAcentral. RNAcentral also lists the same sequence under 1 other name.
GGUUAAGCGACUAAGCGUACACGGUGGAUGCCCUGGCAGUCAGAGGCGAUGAAGGACGUGCUAAUCUGCGAUAAGCGCCGGUAAGGUGAUAUGAACCGUUAUAACCGGCGAUUUCCGAAUGGGGAAACCCAGUGUGACUCGUCACACUAUCAUUAACUGAAUCCAUAGGUUAAUGAGGCGAACCGGGGGAACUGAAACAUCUAAGUACCCCGAGGAAAAGAAAUCAACCGAGAUUCCCCCAGUAGCGGCGAGCGAACGGGGAGGAGCCCAGAGACUGAAUCAGCAUGUGUGUUAGUGGAAGCGUCUGGAAAGGCGCGCGAUACAGGGUGACAGCCCCGUACACAAAAGCGCAUGUGCUGUGAGCUCGAUGAGUAGGGCGGGACACGUGGUAUCCUGUCUGAAUAUGGGGGGACCAUCCUCCAAGGCUAAAUACUCCUGACUGACCGAUAGUGAACCAGUACCGUGAGGGAAAGGCGAAAAGAACCCCGGCGAGGGGAGUGAAAAAGAACCUGAAACCGUGUACGUACAAGCAGUGGGAGCACAGGUUUACCUGUGUGACUGCGUACCUUUUGUAUAAUGGGUCAGCGACUUAUAUUCUGUAGCAAGGUUAACCGAAUAGGGGAGCCG